RNAcentral lists this ribosomal RNA (373 nucleotides) under uncultured organism. RNAcentral describes it as "partial 16S ribosomal RNA". It matches the Rfam family "Bacterial small subunit ribosomal RNA", at positions 527 to 896 of the family's 1533-position model. The record is from RNAcentral.
GUAGGUGGCAAGCGUUGUCCGGAAUUAUUGGGCGUAAAGCGCGCGCAGGUGGUUCUUUAAGCCUGAUGUGAAAGCCCCCGGCUCAACCGGGGAGGGUCAUUGGAAACUGGGGAACUUGAGUGCAGGAGAGGAAAGUGGAAUUCCACGUGUAGCGGUGAAAUGCGUAGAUAUGUGGAGGAACACCAGUGGCGAAGGCGACUUUCUGGCCUGUAACUGACACUGAGGCGCGAAAGCGUGGGGAGCAAACAGGGAUUAGAUACCCUGGUAGUCCACGCCGUAGACGAUGAGUGCUAAGUGUUGGGGGGGUUUCCGCCCCCUCAGUGCUGCAGCUAACGCAUUAAGCACUCCGCCUGGGAGUACGGUCGCAAGACUG